UACGUAGGGGGCUAGCGUUGUCCGGAUUUAUUGGGCGUAAAGAGCGUGUAGGCGGCCAGGUAGGUCUGCUGUGAAAACUCGAGGCUCAACCUCGAGAUGUCGGCGGAAACCAUCUGGCUAGAGUCCGGAAGAGGAAAGUGGAAUUCCUGGUGUAGCGGUGAAAUGCGCAGAUAUCAGGAGGAACACCGAUGGCGAAGGCAGUUCUCUGGGCCGUAACUGACACUGAGGGACGAAAGCUAGGGGAGCGAAUGGG
This 253-nucleotide ribosomal RNA is filed under the name uncultured bacterium. RNAcentral's name for it is "partial 16S ribosomal RNA". It matches the Rfam family "Bacterial small subunit ribosomal RNA", at positions 524 to 776 of the family's 1533-position model. The record is from RNAcentral.